RNAcentral lists this ribosomal RNA (253 nucleotides) under uncultured bacterium. RNAcentral's name for it is "partial 16S ribosomal RNA". It matches the Rfam family "Bacterial small subunit ribosomal RNA", at positions 524 to 776 of the family's 1533-position model. The record is from RNAcentral.
UACAGAGGGGGCGAGCGUUAUUCGGAAUUAUUGGGCGUAAAGGGCGCGUAGGCGGCUUUUCAAGUGACGGGUGAAAUCCCUCGGCUUAACCGAGGAACUGCCUGUCAGACUGGAAGGCUUGAGACCGGGAGAGGUGAGUGGAAUUCCCAGUGUAGCGGUGAAAUGCGUAGAUAUUGGGAGGAACACCAGUGGCGAAGGCGGCUCACUGGCCCGAUACUGACGCUGAGGCACGAAAGCGUGGGGAGCAAACAGG